RNAcentral lists this microRNA (19 nucleotides) under Mus musculus (house mouse). RNAcentral describes it as "mmu-miR-466h-3p". Its record names the gene mmu-miR-466h-3p. Lineage: Eukaryota; Metazoa; Chordata; Mammalia; Rodentia; Muridae. The record is from miRBase by way of RNAcentral.
UACGCACGCACACACACAC